RNAcentral lists this ribosomal RNA (253 nucleotides) under uncultured bacterium. RNAcentral's name for it is "partial 16S ribosomal RNA". It matches the Rfam family "Bacterial small subunit ribosomal RNA", at positions 524 to 776 of the family's 1533-position model. The record is from RNAcentral.
UACGAGGAGAGCAAGCGUUAUCCGGAUUUAUUGGGCGUAAAGCGUGCGCAAGCGGUUUUGCAAGUGAGAUGUUAAAGCCCAAAGCUCAACUUUGGAAUCGCACCUCAUACUGCAAGACUAGAAGCAAGAAGAGGCAAACGGAAUUCCCGGUGUAGUAGUGAAAUGCGUUGAUAUCGGGAGGAACACCAAAAGCGAAAGCAGUUUGCUGGUCUUGUCUUGACGCCGUUGCACGACAGCGUGGGGAGCAAACGGG